CAAACUGGAGCUAGCAAAAAGUUGUCAACGAAUGUCAAUUGGUUUUCUGAUCUGGUCAAAAAAUUCAAAAUUAGGAUCCAGCAUUCGACCUGCAAUUGAUGAUGAUCGAAACCGGCCUUUCAACGAAUGAAGAUUCGCUCUUGGAGUGUUCCCUGUCAUCGAUCGACAUCGCUCAGGACGACUUCAGCCUUCAGCAAACUGAUCAAAAAUCCUCCGAGAAACAAAUCCAACAGCUGAAAAGUGAAAAUGAUGAACUGCGAUCGCUGUUGCAACAAUUGUUGCUAGAAAUAGAUCAACAAUUUGAACAGAUUGACCGGCAGCAGCUCGAAAUCGAAUGUCUGCGCGAACAACGAGAACUUCUACUAAAAGGACCAUUGAUCAAACUGCCUGCCAGGCAGAGAAUCAGAGACUGUUUCGGUGCUGAACUCGAGACGAUUGGGGAACUCGAACCAUUGAGAAUGUAUGUCGUGAACGGACGAUUUAGGUUUGAGGAAAUGCGUAGGCGGAAGAGGAAUGAGGAAAAGAACCGAAAGAUCUCGGGUCGAAGAUAUUACAUGUGAUACAACAUGGUUUUGAAUGACAUCCAAUUUUAAUAAGCAAAACAUAUAAAUGAAUGAAUCAAUAAAUUGAUAGCCGUUACUUCAAGAAUGUGUAAUGCUUGU
Molecule: long non-coding RNA, 662 nt
Organism: Aedes aegypti (yellow fever mosquito)
Lineage: Eukaryota; Metazoa; Arthropoda; Insecta; Diptera; Culicidae
Exons: 3
Source: RefSeq, a predicted model, not a curated record